ACACCGUUGGUGAAGUGGUUAUCAUGCUUGCCUUCCAUCUAUCUUCCACACCUUAUUAGAGCAAGCGGCUCGGGUUCGAUUCCCGAACGGUGUA
This is a non-coding RNA of Marasmius oreades (fairy-ring Marasmius), 94 nucleotides long. The record is from the annotation of a RefSeq genome assembly. NCBI's taxonomy places the organism in Eukaryota, Fungi, Basidiomycota, Agaricomycetes, Agaricales, Marasmiaceae.